UACGUAGGGUCCGAGCGUUGUCCGGAAUUAUUGGUCGUAAAGAGCUCGUAGGCGGUUUGUCACGUCUGCUGUGAAAACUGGAGGCUCAACCUCCAGCCUGCAGUGGGUACGGGCAGACUAGAGUGCGGUAGGGGAGAAUGGAAUUCCUGGUGUAGCGGUGGAAUGCGCAGAUAUCAGGAGGAACACCGAUGGCGAAGGCAGUUCUCUGGGCCGUAACUGACGCUGAGGAGCGAAAGCGUGGGGAGCGAACAGG
Molecule: ribosomal RNA, 253 nt
Filed under: uncultured bacterium
Lineage: Bacteria
Description: partial 16S ribosomal RNA
Rfam family: Bacterial small subunit ribosomal RNA
Source: RNAcentral